RNAcentral lists this long non-coding RNA (821 nucleotides) under Citrus x clementina. RNAcentral describes it as "Citrus clementina (C. clementina) long non-coding RNA (CCLE_LNC004482)". The record is from RNAcentral. Lineage: Eukaryota; Viridiplantae; Streptophyta; Magnoliopsida; Sapindales; Rutaceae.
AAAAUAAAAUGUGCUUAUUGCGAGUUUUUUUAUCGUGUCAUGUUUAGCGCAACUCUAAUCGUGCUGUGCUUAGCCCAUCUCUAAUUAUACCAUGCUUUUAAGGCUCGCAUGUCUAAAAUUUUAAGCACGGCCUGGCCCAUAUGCUUGCCGUGCCGUACCGUGUGCCCUACCGAAACGUGCUCGUGUUGUGCCACAUGUCGUCCGGCUCAUUGCCCAUCUUUAGAAUAGGGGCUUCAUGUGGUCAAAUAAGCAAAUUUGGCAUUGGUUAUUAUUGAGACAGAUUCUCAUGAGGCGCCAGACCUUGUUAACAAUAAAAUAUGAGUGUUGAUUUCCCAAAAUUCUAUUUUCCAGCAUGUCCAUAGACCUAGUAAUGAGGCAGCUCAUAAGCUUGCUAAAUAUGCCACUAGGAGUGGAGUAUCCAAUGUCUGGGUGGAGUUCUUCCCAACUGACAUUGUUUGUAUUCUCAAUUUUGUUAAUUAAUGAAUCUUUUCUUCUUAAAAAAAUGACAUAAAAAUGAGCGUUGGAUUUUGAUUCAAAAAUCGAACAGAUGUGGAUAAAUGUGCAUUAAAUAAAAACUAUAUGGCGGCCAACCUAUUGUAAGAAUUACUCUUUAACUUGUUGAAAUGAUUUAAAAAUGAAAUGAUGUCUAAGGCUUUAAAAGAAAAAUGCAGAUAACUAUGGGAGUAAGGAUAAAACAACAUUUUAGGACUCUGUAAGCAUGUUUGUGAAAAAUGAAUUAUUUUAGAAGACCUAAAAGUGAUUUAAAAAAAUUAAAAAUUAAUUUUAGUAUUUAGUGCAUUUUUUUUUAAAUUUGCUUUUGG